AUUGAACGCUGGCGGAAUGCUUUACACAUGCAAGUCGAACGGCAGCACGGGUGCUUGCACCUGGUGGCGAGUGGCGAACGGGUGAGUAAUGCGUCGGAACGUGCCGAGUAAUGGGGGAUAACGCAGCGAAAGUUGUGCUAAUACCGCAUACGCCCUGAGGGGGAAAGUGGGGGGAUCGCAAGACCUCACGUUAUUCGAGCGGCCGACGUCUGAUUAGCUAGUUGGUGGGGUAAAGGCCUACCAAGGCGACGAUCAGUAGCGGGUCUGAGAGGAUGAUCCGCCACACUGGGACUGAGACACGGCCCAGACUCCUACGGGAGGCAGCAGUGGGGAAUUUUGGACAAUGGGGGCAACCCUGAUCCAGCCAUUCCGCGUGAGUGAAGAAGGCCUGGUUGUAAGACUCUUCUAGCAGGAACGAAACGGUAGA
Molecule: ribosomal RNA, 427 nt
Filed under: uncultured bacterium
Lineage: Bacteria
Description: bacterial SSU rRNA
Rfam family: Bacterial small subunit ribosomal RNA
Source: RNAcentral